RNAcentral lists this non-coding RNA (24 nucleotides) under Arabidopsis thaliana (thale cress). The record is from RNAcentral. Lineage: Eukaryota; Viridiplantae; Streptophyta; Magnoliopsida; Brassicales; Brassicaceae.
UCACUCGUGGCAACAUCAAAAGUU